Molecule: long non-coding RNA, 1212 nt
Filed under: Gadus morhua (Atlantic cod)
Lineage: Eukaryota; Metazoa; Chordata; Actinopteri; Gadiformes; Gadidae
Description: lncRNA (ENSGMOG00000036494.1)
Source: RNAcentral
AUGGGGCCCUCCUCCCCCCCGGGACCCUCCUCCACCCCGGGGCCCUCCUCCACUGUGGGACUCCCCUCCACCCCUGGGCCCUCCUACACCGUGGGGCCCUUCUCCCCACUGGAGCCCGCCCUGUCUCCUCUCUCUCCCCCUGUGCCCUCCUCCACCCUGAGACCCUCCUCCCCCCCGGUGCCCUCCUCCGUCCUGGGACCCUCCUCCACCCUGGGGCCCACCUCCACCACGGGGCCCUCCUAUAUGACGGAGACCUCCUCCACCACGGGGACCUCCUCCACCCUGGGAACCUCCUCCACCCUGGGACCCUCCUCCAACCCGGGGCCCUCCUCCACCAUGGGGCCCUCCUCCACCGUGGGGCCCUCCUCUGUCAGCAGCAGCAGUAGCUCCGGGCCUACGUCCUGUGGGGUUACCCAUGGCCGUGCAGAGGGACGGAGCUCUAGAGGAGACCCCGCCUCCAGCGGCAGAGGUGUCGUGGAGGGGGAGGAUCAGGGGGUGGAGGAGGGGGAGGAGCAGGGGGAGGUGGAGGAGGAGGAGGAGGAGCGAAGUGAGGGCCCACGGCGUUACACCAAGCUGCUCCAGCUCCUCACUGACACACCGACGACGCACGGCGACGACCAAUCCGAACACGCCAGGGACCCAGGAGGCGGGGCCAGUGCCUGCGGGGGGGCGGGGCCUAAUGGUAACUCCUCCCUGAAGGACAAGCACAAGAUCCUCCAUCGCCUGCUGCAGCAGAACAGCUCCGCCCCCGGGGGAGGGGGGGAGGGAGGGGAGGAGGGGAGGAGAAAGGACAACGCCCUCCUAAGGUACCUGCUGGACCGGGACGACCUUCAGGAGAGAGGAGGAGACCAGGAGAAGGUCACCAGGCAGGAGCCCGCCAGGGCACAGCAGGCCAGUGAGCUUGAGGACCUACUGGAAGACCCCCAGGGCAGGGCUCCAUACCGGCUCUGCCCAGGAAAGAUAGCUGGAAGACGGGCCUCUGUCCCCCUCUCCUCCUCCUCCUCUCUCCCCCUCUCCUCCACCUCAUCUCUCCCCCUCUCCUCCACCUCCUCUCUCCCCCUCUCCUCCUCCUCUCUCCCCCUCUCCUCCACCUCCACCUCUCUGGACAAUCAGAGCAUCAUCAGUGACCUCCUGCAGAUGAUGGAGAGUGUACCUAGCACCACCCAGAACCCAGCCUCACGUAAGUCUUUAACCACACCCAGCCUGACGUAG